RNAcentral lists this long non-coding RNA (483 nucleotides) under Ananas comosus (pineapple). RNAcentral describes it as "long non-coding RNA (ACOM_LNC018290)". The record is from RNAcentral. Lineage: Eukaryota; Viridiplantae; Streptophyta; Magnoliopsida; Poales; Bromeliaceae.
GAUAAUAAUUUCGGAUUAGGAUUAUAAUGAUCCUCUGGAAUUGAGUGGGUUAUUGGUUGAAUAAUAUAAUGUCACGUCCCAGAUUACAACAUUUUUCGGGCUCGCCAAUAAAUCUGCUGUACACACAGAAAUUUUUCGUGUAUAUGAAACAAUAGCCAUACCUGCAAACAGAUAGAAGCUACAACAAAAGUAUAAAGCUGCUAAACUAAACAUAUAUAUAUCUGAAUAUCAUAGAAAGGCCAACUGUACAUACAUACUCCAAAACACAACCAUCUCUCAGAACGAAACUAAAACAAAUAUCACUGUAUAUACAUGGCACAAUCAAAACUAUCUCUGAUAGAGGGACUCCUCUAGAAAGGUGAUCGGGGUCGAUAGGGAUCUAGUACGCGACUCCCUUAUCUCAAUUAGAAUCAGCAACAGUAGCAGCAGACAAGAGCUCUGCAAAAAACUUACAACAACAGGGUGUGAGAACUACUGCAAAAC